AGAAGGGGUAAAUUUUCACUUUUUCGUGCCAACGAAAAUAUUUUUCAAACCGUUAGUUUGAAAACGGUGUUCGAAAACGUGCGUUCUGUUUUUCUUUUUUUUUCUCUCUCGCGAAAAGGGAUUUAUAUUUCUAGUAAAAAUUUGUUCUCUUGCUGGUUGAAGAAGAUUGUUGAACAGUUAUGUUUCAGGAGGAGCCCUAACCACUAAAAGGAGUCACCCAAAGAGACGUUGUGGGAAUAUUAAACUUGGAAGAUCAAGUGGAAGGCCCUUUGAAAUUUAGAUGACACCCCAUUACGAAACGCCAUUCGUAUUCUUGCCGACGCUCCUCGGCCAUAAUGAAGAAUAUUCGGCGCAAGGACACCCACACACACCGUCAUUAUUCAACUGUUCAUGGACGUUCAGUUCGACAUAAACAGGAUGUGUGACAUGCAACAUUUGAAGGACAUUUGCCCCGGGGAGAAAUCAUCUAAAAAUAUUUCAUUUAUAAACUUUCAUAUUAUAAAAUAUUUUGAAAGUGAAAAAAAAAAUUAUUUUCGCUUUUUUAAUUUAUAUAAUUAACAAUAAUUUUUACUAA
This is a long non-coding RNA of Leptopilina heterotoma, 574 nucleotides long. RefSeq lists it as uncharacterized. The record is from RefSeq and is a predicted model, not a curated record. NCBI's taxonomy places the organism in Eukaryota, Metazoa, Arthropoda, Insecta, Hymenoptera, Figitidae. The transcript is spliced from 3 exons.